RNAcentral lists this long non-coding RNA (622 nucleotides) under Neogale vison (American mink). Its description in RNAcentral is "Neovison vison (American mink) lncRNA (ENSNVIG00000023262.1)". Lineage: Eukaryota; Metazoa; Chordata; Mammalia; Carnivora; Mustelidae. The record is from RNAcentral.
CUCUUGCUGUCUUCCCAGGACUCGGCAAUGGGAAUGGGAUGGGACUCGGAGCCCAGCCAGGAUUCGGGAAUGGGAACGGGCUGGGAGGUGGCGCCUUCCCGGGAGUAGGAGCCCAACCAGCAGGUCCUGCAACUCAAAAUGGCUACAGACCAGGGCUCGGGAACGGCAAUGGCUUGGGAGCCCAGCCAGGCCUAGUGACCCAGAAUGGAUAUGGAGCAGGCUUGGGGGGGGCCACGAAGCCCCAGAAACCAGGAUUUGGGAAUGGCGACGGGCUGGGAGGCCAGCCAGGUGAGACUGGUGGGGUCUGGGUGGUACAAGUCUGGGCAUCCUCUCCUGCUUCCCUGGCGGCCUGGCAGGAGGGCGGGUUAGCCUGGGAGCAGCUGGCCUCCAGGCUGGGCUCUGAAGGGGGACCACAGGCGGUUCCCCCACCUGAGCCAGCCCCAACCCCCUGCUCAUCCCUCCUCCCCGCACGGGCCCUCCAGCUCCCAGAGGCUGCAGAGCAGGUACUGAGGGGAGAAGAGAGAAGGGCCUGGCGGGGAGCACUGGUCCUCACCCAGGCCCUGUUGGGGGCGGGGUUUCCUGCCAGACUAGGUGGGGGCGGGGCUUCCUGACAGACUAGGUG